Molecule: ribosomal RNA, 503 nt
Filed under: uncultured bacterium
Lineage: Bacteria
Description: partial 16S ribosomal RNA
Rfam family: Bacterial small subunit ribosomal RNA
Source: RNAcentral
AUUGAACGCUGGCGGCAGGCUUAACACAUGCAAGUCGAGCGGGGUGAUGGUGCUUGCACUAUCACUUAGCGGCGGACGGGUGAGUAAUGCUUAGGAAUCUGCCUAUUAGUGGGGGACAACAUCUCGAAAGGGAUGCUAAUACCGCAUACGUCCUACGGGAGAAAGCAGGGGAUCACUUGUGACCUUGCGCUAAUAGAUGAGCCUAAGUCGGAUUAGCUAGUUGGUGGGGUAAAGGCCUACCAAGGCGACGAUCUGUAGCGGGUCCGGGAGGAUGAACUGCCGCAGUGGGGCUGAGGCACGGCCCAGGCUAGUACGGGAGGCAGCAGUGGGGAAUAUGCGAUAAUGGGGGGCACCCUGAGCCAUCCAUGCCGCGUGUGUGAAGAAGGUCUUAUGGUUGUAAAGCACUUUAAGCGAGGAGGAGGCUCUUUUGGUUAAUACCCAAGAUGAGUGGACGUUACUCGCAGAAUAAGCACCGACUAACUCUGUGCCAGCCGCCGCCGUAA